RNAcentral lists this unclassified non-coding RNA (349 nucleotides) under fungal sp. RNAcentral's name for it is "partial internal transcribed spacer region". The stretch from base 1 to 46 matches the Rfam family "Eukaryotic small subunit ribosomal RNA", at positions 1786 to 1831 of the family's 1831-position model. The record is from RNAcentral. Lineage: Eukaryota; Fungi.
AAGUCGUAACAAGAUUUCCGUAGGUGAACCUGCGGAAGGAUCAUUAACACGUAUCCAAACGUUAAAAUUCCCCCCGUGAACCUUCUAACCCGCGUAGUUCGCAAUCUCUGAUAAAUCAUAGCCCGGAAAGUUGUAGUGAUUCAGAGACGUCUGGCUACGUGCGAACAUUGGUCGAGCGGUAGUUCUAUAGGCAAUGUUUGGAAAGUGUCAUUGAUUGUGCAAGGAUAGCGCUUCUACGAUUCCUGUGGACCCCAUGCCCCCUAAUAACCCCACAGUUUAAUGUGAAGCUCAAUGUAAUACAUUGGGUAAAAAAACCAAACAACUGUUAACAAUGGAUAUCUUGGUUUUC